Molecule: ribosomal RNA, 253 nt
Filed under: uncultured bacterium
Lineage: Bacteria
Description: partial 16S ribosomal RNA
Rfam family: Bacterial small subunit ribosomal RNA
Source: RNAcentral
UACGUAGGGGGCAAGCGUUGUCCGGAUUUAUUGGGCGUAAAGAGCGUGUAGGCGGUUCGGUAGGUCCGUUGUGAAAACUCGAGGCUCAACCUCGAGACGCCGAUGGAAACCCCCGAACUAGAGUCCGGAAGAGGAGAGUGGAACUCCUGGUGUAGCGGUGAAAUGCGCAGAUAUCAGGAAGAACACCCGUGGCUAAGGCGGCUCUCUAGUACGGUACUGACGCUGAGACGCGAAAGCGUGGGGAGCGAACAGG